RNAcentral lists this ribosomal RNA (460 nucleotides) under uncultured bacterium. RNAcentral describes it as "partial 16S ribosomal RNA". It matches the Rfam family "Bacterial small subunit ribosomal RNA", at positions 338 to 795 of the family's 1533-position model. The record is from RNAcentral.
CCUACGGGAGGCAGCAGUGAGGAAUAUUGGUCAAUGGGCGGAAGCCUGAACCAGCCAAGUAGCGUGCAGGAUGACGGCCCUACGGGUUGUAAACUGCUUUUAUACGGGAAUAACGCGCCUUACGUGUAGGGCUUUGCAUGUACCGUAUGUAUAAGGACCGGCUAAUUCCGUGCCAGCAGCCGCGGUAAUACGGAAGGUCCGGGCGUUAUCCGGAUUUAUUGGGGUUAAAGGGAGCGUAGGCCGCAUGUCAAGCGUGCUGUGAAAUGUCCGGGCUCAACCCGGGCCUUGCAUCGCAAACUGGCGAGCUUGAGUCCGCGGAAAGCAGGCGGAAUUCGUGGUGUAGCGGUGAAAUGCGUAGAUAUGACGAAGAACCCCGAUGGCGAAGGCAGCUUGCUGCAGCGGAACUGACGCUGAUACUCGAAAGCGCGGGUAGCGAACAGGAUUAGAUACCCGAGUAGUC